UACGGGGGGGGCAAGCGUUGUUCGGAAUUACUGGGCGUAAAGGGCUCGUAGGCGGCCAACUAAGUCAGACGUGAAAUCCCUCGGCUUAACCGGGGAACUGCGUCUGAUACUGGAUGGCUUGAGUUUGGGAGAGGGAUGCGGAAUUCCAGGUGUAGCGGUGAAAUGCGCAGAUAUCAGGAGGAACACCGGUGGCGAAGGCGGAUCUCUGGGCCUUACCUGACGCUGAGGCGCGAAAGCUAGGGGAGCGAACAGG
RNAcentral lists this ribosomal RNA (253 nucleotides) under uncultured bacterium. Its description in RNAcentral is "partial 16S ribosomal RNA". It matches the Rfam family "Bacterial small subunit ribosomal RNA", at positions 524 to 776 of the family's 1533-position model. The record is from RNAcentral.